GUGGAAGAUGUGUCUGGGACAGAGAGAUUUCUCUGAACAAUUUUUUCCUGCCCUCUGUAGGCCUUGCUUGCCAUGGAAGUGACAAGUGUGUGUGGUUUAUACUCACAGACUGGGUGAAAAUAUGUGAUGCUUAUACUUGUUAGCUGGGGGUCUAAUUAUAAGGUUUGAGAACAAAAUAUGUUUAUAGAAAGAAAACCUUGAGAAACUGAAGAUAAUGAAACACCUGCAAAUUUAGUAAAACCCUAAAAGCAGAUUAAUUAGAAAGAUGUUUCUAUGCCAAGG
Molecule: long non-coding RNA, 282 nt
Organism: Chiroxiphia lanceolata (lance-tailed manakin)
Lineage: Eukaryota; Metazoa; Chordata; Aves; Passeriformes; Pipridae
Exons: 3
Source: RefSeq, a predicted model, not a curated record